This 208-nucleotide ribosomal RNA is filed under the name uncultured bacterium. RNAcentral describes it as "partial 16S ribosomal RNA". It matches the Rfam family "Bacterial small subunit ribosomal RNA", at positions 1294 to 1500 of the family's 1533-position model. The record is from RNAcentral.
CAGAUCGCAGUCUGCAACUCGACUGCGUGAAGUUGGAACCGCUGUAAUCGCGGAUCAGCAUGCCGCGGUGAAUACGUUCCCGGGCCUUGUACACACCGCCCGUCACACCAUGAGAGUCGGGAACACCCGAAGCCCGUAGCCUAACUUUAACGAGGGGGCGCGGUCGAAGGUGGGUUCGAUAAUUGGGGUGAAGUCGUAACAAGGUACC